RNAcentral lists this ribosomal RNA (251 nucleotides) under uncultured bacterium. Its description in RNAcentral is "partial 16S ribosomal RNA". It matches the Rfam family "Bacterial small subunit ribosomal RNA", at positions 524 to 776 of the family's 1533-position model. The record is from RNAcentral.
UACGGAGGAUGCGAGCGUUAUCCGGAUUUAUUGGGUUUAAAGGGUGCGUAGGCGGAACGUUAAGUCAGUGGUCAAAUUGAGUGGCUCAACCCCUCCCGCCAUUGAAACUGGCGAUCUUGAGUGGAAGAGAAGUAUGCGGAAUGCGUGGUGUAGCGGUGAAAUGCAUAGAUAUCACGCAGAACCCCGAUUGCGAAGGCAGCAUGCCGGCUUCCGACUGACGCUGAAGCACGAAAGCGUGGGGAUCGAACAGG